ACUCAAAGGAAUAGACGGGGGCCCGCACAAGCAGCGGAGCGUGUGGUUUAAUUCGAUGCAACGCGAAGAACCUUACCCGGGCUUGACGUGGAGGUGGUACCGACCUGAAAGGGAAGGGACCCGCGAGGGAGCCUCUGCAGGUGCUGCACGGCUGUCGUCAGCUCGUGCCGUGAGGUGUUGGGUUAAGUCCCGCAACGAGCGCAACCCCCGCCGCUAGUUACUGUGUCUAGCGGGACCGCCGGGACCAACCCGGAGGAAGGUGGGGACGACGUCAAGUCAGCAUGGCCCUGACGCCCGGGGCCACACACACGCUACAAUGGCCGGGACAACGGGCAGCGAGGGGGCGACCCGGAGCUAAUCCCAACAAACCCGGUCUCAGUUCGGAUUGCAGGCUGCAACCCGCCUGCAUGAAGUCGGAGUUGCUAGUAACCGCCGGUCAGCACACGGCGGUGAAUACGUUCCCGGGCCUUGCACACACCGCCCGU
This 485-nucleotide ribosomal RNA is filed under the name uncultured bacterium. Its description in RNAcentral is "partial 16S ribosomal RNA". It matches the Rfam family "Bacterial small subunit ribosomal RNA", at positions 899 to 1397 of the family's 1533-position model. The record is from RNAcentral.